RNAcentral lists this ribosomal RNA (486 nucleotides) under uncultured bacterium. RNAcentral's name for it is "partial 16S ribosomal RNA". It matches the Rfam family "Bacterial small subunit ribosomal RNA", at positions 30 to 507 of the family's 1533-position model. The record is from RNAcentral.
AUUGAACGCUGGCGGCAUGCCUUACACAUGCAAGUCGAACGGCAGCACGGGUGCUUGCACCUGGUGGCGAGUGGCGAACGGGUGAGUAAUACAUCGGAACAUGUCCUGUAGUGGGGGAUAGCCCGGCGAAAGCCGGAUUAAUACCGCAUACGAUCUACGGAUGAAAGCGGGGGACCUUCGGGCCUCGCGCUAUCGGGUUGGCCGAUGGCUGAUUAGCUAGUUGGUGGGGUAAAGGCCUACCAAGGCGACGAUCAGUAGCUGGUCUGAGAGGACGACCAGCCACACUGGGACUGAGACACGGCCCAGACUCCUACGGGAGGCAGCAGUGGGGAAUUUUGGACAAUGGGCGAAAGCCUGAUCCAGCAAUGCCGCGUGUGUGAAGAAGGCCUUCGGGUUGUAAAGCACUUUUGUCCGGAAAGAAAUCCUUGGGCCUAAUACGGUCGGGGGAUGACGGUACCGGAAGAAUAAGCACCGGCUAACUACGUG